Molecule: ribosomal RNA, 682 nt
Filed under: Arthrobacter globiformis
Lineage: Bacteria; Bacillati; Actinomycetota; Actinomycetes; Micrococcales; Micrococcaceae
Description: bacterial SSU rRNA
Rfam family: Bacterial small subunit ribosomal RNA
Source: RNAcentral
GCGUAAGAGCUCGUAGGCGGUUUGUCGCGUCUGCCGUGAAAGUCCGGGGCUCAACUCCGGAUCUGCGGUGGGUACGGGCAGACUAGAGUGAUGUAGGGGAGACUGGAAUUCCUGGUGUAGCGGUGAAAUGCGCAGAUAUCAGGAGGAACACCGAUGGCGAAGGCAGGUCUCUGGGCAUUAACUGACGCUGAGGAGCGAAAGCAUGGGGAGCGAACAGGAUUAGAUACCCUGGUAGUCCAUGCCGUAAACGUUGGGCACUAGGUGUGGGGGACAUUCCACGUUUUCCGCGCCGUAGCUAACGCAUUAAGUGCCCCGCCUGGGGAGUACGGCCGCAAGGCUAAAACUCAAAGGAAUUGACGGGGGCCCGCACAAGCGGCGGAGCAUGCGGAUUAAUUCGAUGCAACGCGAAGAACCUUACCAAGGCUUGACAUGGACCGGACCGCCGCAGAAAUGUGGUUUCCCCUUUGGGGCUGGUUUACAGGUGGUGCAUGGUUGUCGUCAGCUCGUGUCGUGAGAUGUUGGGUUAAGUCCCGCAACGAGCGCAACCCUCGUUCUAUGUUGCCAGCACGUGAUGGUGGGGACUCAUAGGAGACUGCCGGGGUCAACUCGGAGGAAGGUGGGGACGACGUCAAAUCAUCAUGCCCCUUAUGUCUUGGGCUUCACGCAUGCUACAAUGGCCGGG